CAAAAUUCAGAUAAAUCCCAUUUUAUUACUUUACAAGUAGCAAGAAAAAGGGUAAAAAACAAACAAACUUCUCACAUUACCAGAAUCCAUCUCUGGUCUACAAAAUAAGAUCAAGUAGUUAUAUUGUUGCUGGGUUCAACACUAGACAGACUUAGAUUCAGUACUACAAAUAAUUCUCAAUUGUAAGGCCAAAAAUUGUCAUCCCUGAAGCAUUUUGGGUAAUAGUGUCCACUUCCAAUAGGAAACCCUUCAUUCAUUUUCUGCGGAUUUUAACAUCAAGUGUCCACUGAACCUUCCCUUCUGGCAAAGGAAUGGACUUUGGUAAGCGGAGCGGCACCUCAAACUCUCCCAAAGAUGGCAAAGGAGUUGGCAAAUGUAAGUUUUCAGGCUCAAUGCGCACAGAGAGUUGCCUUGCCACCUGACACGACAGAAACAGAAUUUGUAUAUUACCUAAAAAGUGAGAAAAAUCAACACGUAAAUUAUCCUGAUACAAUAUACUGGCCAGCUCCACCAUUAUCAUGUUAAAGCAACAUUUUUCAUUGAAUUGCAACAACAAAAAUUUACAGCCAGAAUCCAUGGGUUGCAGUGCAGGCCCUUUUUCCACUUUGGUGCAUUACUUGCCAAAACAGAACUUUAGACACAACAUCUCAACUCUUCACAAAACUUAGCAAGGUCAAUGUUUUAUAUAUCCAAAAUACAAUAUAAAUCCAACACCUAAUGCCCACUUUUACAUCAGAAUGGCAAGAGAAUUGAGAAGGUUGUUCCUCUAUCCUCCCCACCACUUGCUUGGAACUUGCUCCUUUUUUCAGCUUUUUGGAUUAAUUAAGACACUUAAAUACAUAUAUUGUCAUGAACUUAACCAAUGAGGUUGAAGGACCACAGUUAAGCAGGCUAAAUGGCAUAAGCCUUUCAGUGUUGAACUCCCAACUUAAGAGCAAAAUGUGUAUAU
RNAcentral lists this long non-coding RNA (949 nucleotides) under Panax ginseng (ginseng). RNAcentral describes it as "long non-coding RNA (PGIN_LNC003770)". The record is from RNAcentral. Lineage: Eukaryota; Viridiplantae; Streptophyta; Magnoliopsida; Apiales; Araliaceae.